This 135-nucleotide ribosomal RNA is filed under the name uncultured bacterium. RNAcentral describes it as "partial 16S ribosomal RNA". It matches the Rfam family "Bacterial small subunit ribosomal RNA", at positions 356 to 509 of the family's 1533-position model. The record is from RNAcentral.
UGGGAAUAUGCACAAUGGGGGAAACCCUGAUGCAGCGACGCCGCGUGAAGGAAGAAGUAUCUCGGUAUGUAAACUUCUAUCAGCAGGGAAGAUAGUGACGGUACCUGACUAAGAAGCCCCGGCUAAUUACGUGCC